RNAcentral lists this ribosomal RNA (465 nucleotides) under uncultured bacterium. RNAcentral describes it as "partial 16S ribosomal RNA". It matches the Rfam family "Bacterial small subunit ribosomal RNA", at positions 28 to 507 of the family's 1533-position model. The record is from RNAcentral.
GACGAACGCUGGCGGCGUGCUUAACACAUGCAAGUCGAACGGAAAGGCCCCUUUGGGGGUACUCGAGUGGCGAACGGGUGAGUAACACGUGAGUAACCUGCCCUUGACUUCGGGAUAACUUCAGGAAACUGGGGCUAAUACCGGAUAGGAAUCCUUGCUGCAUGGUGGGGGUUGGAAAGCUUCGGCGGUUUUGGAUGGACUCGCGGCUUAUCAGCUUGUUGGUGGGGUAGUGGCUUACCAAGGCUUUGACGGGUAGCCGGCCUGAGAGGGCGACCGGCCACAUUGGGACUGAGAUACGGCCCAGGCUCCUACGGGAGGCAGAAGUGGGGAAGAUUGCACCAGGGGCGGAAGCCUGAUGCAGCAACGCCGCGGGCGGGAGGACGGCCUUCGGGUUGUAAACCGCUUUCAGCAGGGGCGAAGCUUGUGGUGACGGUACCUGCAGAAGAAGCACCGGCUAACUACGUG